GACGAACGCUGGCGGCGUGCCUAAUACAUGCAAGUCGAGCGGACGAAUCGAAAGCUUGCUUUUGAUUCGUUAGCGGCGGACGGGUGAGUAACACGUGGGCAACCUGCCCUGUAGACGGGGAUAACACCGAGAAAUCGGUGCUAAUACCGGAUAACACGAAAUGUCGCAUGACGUUUCGUUGAAAGACGGCGCAAGCUGUCGCUACAGGAUGGGCCCGCGGCGCAUUAGCUAGUUGGUGAGGUAACGGCUCACCAAGGCGACGAUGCGUAGCCGACCUAAGAGGGUGAUCGGCCACACUGGGACUGAGACACGGCCCAGACUCCUACGGGAGGCAGCAGUAGGGAAUCUUCCGCAAUGGACGAAAGUCUGACGGAGCAACGCCGCGUGAGCGAAGAAGGCCUUCGGGUCGUAAAGCUCUGUUGUUAGGGAAGAACAAGUAACGCAGUAACUGGCGUUACCGUGACGGUACCUAACGAGAAAGCCACGGCUAACUACGUG
This 498-nucleotide ribosomal RNA is filed under the name uncultured bacterium. RNAcentral describes it as "partial 16S ribosomal RNA". It matches the Rfam family "Bacterial small subunit ribosomal RNA", at positions 28 to 507 of the family's 1533-position model. The record is from RNAcentral.